RNAcentral lists this long non-coding RNA (1081 nucleotides) under Vulpes vulpes (red fox). Its description in RNAcentral is "lncRNA (ENSVVUG00000021620.1)". Lineage: Eukaryota; Metazoa; Chordata; Mammalia; Carnivora; Canidae. The record is from RNAcentral.
GCAUAAGGAAAUCAGUUCAGUUUAGUUCACCUUGGAGUAGAGGACCUAAUAUCAACAUUUAUUUUUCAAAAGAAAAGUGGAAGAAAUAUUUCUAUUUUUCAUUGCGAGAGAAAUGGUGAUUACCCUUCUUGUGAUGAUGUGAGAUGAUAGAAUGGCAACGUGAGGUGAGGAGAGAAGUGAGAGUGACAAUGUAGCCAUUGUGACAUAGCCCUAAGGGACUGUUGACCUUCUGACCCUCCUCUGGAGGAUCCUCUGCCUCAGGACCAUGGUUGAUCUUGAGUAACUGAACCUGGGGAGGGCAAAACCUUGAAUAAGGAUGGACUUCUGUGCCGGUUACUCUGCUCUAUGGAAAUAAAUUUCAGUGACCCGAACCUUCAUUCCCGAAGCUUCUCAGUAGGAGUCUUGCCUGCACUGGAUUUUUGCAGUUUUCCAUCCCUUUGUGUUUGGAACAGUGGGCAUCAUAAUUUAUUGCAGCUUGCAGUCCUCCUCAUCGUGGGCAAUACUCUUACCACAUGUAAGUACUUGAUUCCAUCACAUGAAUCAUUUUUACCUACUCACUGCUCUACAAAAUGUACCUCUGUCACCUGUUGGCAGUUCACCCGUCCAGACCACGGAGGAGCACCGUAUUUUAUGGAGUGCCUGCAGAAUAGAGACUUCAGCUCCCUCUGUGCUCUCUGAAGACAUAAACACAUGAAAAAAACAGCCCCGAACCCCUGGGGCUGAUAACCAUCAGUUCGAAGUAAAUUGGUAGCUCCAAUCUUAUGUAAACUUUUAUGUUGGUUUUUCCACCAAAAGGAGAUAAAAUUUCAUCUGUUGGAUUCUUAUUUGGUUCCCAGCUUACUGUGUUAUAGAUCCUCAUGGUAUUUUAAAACAAAACAAGAGACAAAGACUAAAAAGAAUUCAGUCCCGCUGAGCACCUCGGUUAGGUGUUAGCUCUCUGGGUGCAAGGGGAGGGGAGGAGAGGAGAAAAAAGUGGCAAUGUAAAAAAACCUGGUGGGGCACAUAGUCCAGAUAGCAUCCUGUUCCUGAGGUGCAGGGAACGUCCCUGAGCACCGCCUGGCGCGCAGAGCUGUUCUGCUGU